RNAcentral lists this ribosomal RNA (267 nucleotides) under Escherichia coli. RNAcentral describes it as "partial 16S ribosomal RNA". It matches the Rfam family "Bacterial small subunit ribosomal RNA", at positions 1050 to 1317 of the family's 1533-position model. The record is from RNAcentral. Lineage: Bacteria; Pseudomonadati; Pseudomonadota; Gammaproteobacteria; Enterobacterales; Enterobacteriaceae.
UGUCGUCAGCUCGUGUUGUGAAAUGUUGGGUUAAGUCCCGCAACGAGCGCAACCCUUAUCCUUUGUUGCCAGCGGUCCGGCCGGGAACUCAAAGGAGACUGCCAGUGAUAAACUGGAGGAAGGUGGGGAUGACGUCAAGUCAUCAUGGCCCUUACGACCAGGGCUACACACGUGCUACAAUGGCGCAUACAAAGAGAAGCGACCUCGCGAGAGCAAGCGGACCUCAUAAAGUGCGUCGUAGUCCGGAUUGGAGUCUGCAACUCGACU